Oryza sativa Japonica Group (Japanese rice) is the source of this 1667-nucleotide long non-coding RNA. RefSeq lists it as uncharacterized. The record is from RefSeq and is a predicted model, not a curated record. NCBI's taxonomy places the organism in Eukaryota, Viridiplantae, Streptophyta, Magnoliopsida, Poales, Poaceae.
UCACACCUGCAGAUAAGUGCAUUUUCACUUUUUCAGAAUGCUAAAAUUUCAGAAUUUUCAGAUAGGUACUCCCCCGUCCUGGAAAAAAUAAUCAAAUCCUAGCCAUGAAUCCGAACAAAUAUAUGUUCAGAUAUAUAGUCAGGAUUUAAUAUUUUUUAAAAUGGAGGGUGUAUGAGGCUGAGCUAGAUGGAUUUGUCUGAAGAAAAGAGGAGAAUUAAUUCUGUACCAUCAAUGGCACGCAGAGUCUUCCUGAUCUUGUGCUCGCAGCCAUUGCAGUCCAUCCUCACAUGAAGCUCUGUUAUUCGCGGCGUCUGCAGGUACAGUUCGAGUCACAGUCACCGACCUCUGAUUCUGCAGCCAUCACUGAAGUUGAUCUGAAUGUGUAUGUUUUGUUGGAGAUAGCUUCCUGAAGCUCGAGGAUCCUAAUGGAGAGAGCUCCUAAUUAAGACCUUUGUUGCUAGGCAGCUUGGAGCCAUGGACCAUGCAAGUAGUUGCACUUAUAUAAGGGAUUGGAGAGAUGGAAUAUUUAGAGGGGAAUUUGUGUGGGUCACCCAAAGAAUCAUUGGAAAGUGAAAAGAGGGGCCCUGUGUGUUACUCCAUCCCGGCAUGACCUCCUCUGCUUUUCCUUAUGUUGUAGUCGUACCCGCAAGUGGGUUCUUCUAGGCAAGGCAAGGUUUUCUCAGUUCUGGUGUCUCAUUUGCCCCAAGGUUUCUCGGCCCUGUUCUUUAGUGGUUUUCAGAAUUAAAUAGGCCAUUUCUCUUUUGUUAUUAAGAUACAUAAUUUUAUCUUGGUUUCUAUUAAUAUGUUUUUAACUGCUAAAUGGUGUAUUUUGUGUGAAACUUUUUAUAUAGAAAUUGUUCUAAAAUAUCAAAUAAAUCUAUUUUCUCAAGUUUGAAAUCAUUAAAUCUCAAUUAACCAUGUAUUAAUGUAUUUCUCGUUUUGCGUGCUCAUACUUAAUCUUUAUUUGGAGCAAGUUCAAACAGGGCCAUAGUUCAUACUCUCACAUAGAUUCCAAUAGUAUAUAGUAACAAAAUCUAAAAAGCGAACUUAAAAACCAGAAGCUCUUUCAUAAUAAAUCUCUAGCUCCGACAAAUAGUUUCAGAUUCUCACACAGAUUUUAAUAAUAUGUACUUAUAAAAUCUAUAAAAUAAACGAGAAAUAGAAAAGUUAGAAAAGUCUAUUUUUUCUCAGAUUCUCAUCAGUCGUUUCUCAGAAUCUAAUAAAAUCUAGAACUGAUGUCAGCCGGGGAACAUUUCAGUUAUAUCGUUUUCUACAUAUGAACAUCAUCAACAGUACGUAGAUGCAAUUAUUGCCAUGGGAUAACCAGGAAUCCCUGCUUUCAAUCGAUUUCCAUGGGACUCGAUAUACUACUGGAUUAUGUUUCGUUUUGGUAUUUCCGAAUGCAUAUGGUGCUAUAUAUGUGGUCUUUGUCGGAAUGUUAAGUUUAGGCCAAAACAUUGUGCGAGUCAGUGAGAAUCAUCAAUAACUCACAGUAGGGAGAGUGGGCAUUGUAGCAGUUAUUUGGGCUUUUUGGAAGAACAGAAAUGCCGCAUGUGUUAACAUUUUUUUUCCCAAAAGAUCCUAUAUAAAGCUGAUGAGGAGGAAGAAAGCUUUUUGGUUGAACAAAUGGAAAUACCACUUUACGGUUUUUGUGGUAAAUUUAUUUA